GUAGAAGUUGUUGAAUCCACAUGUGAUGAUACAUAUAAUAAAUCAAGAAAUUAUUCACAAAAUAUAAUUAACUAAACCACCCCAAUUGUAGGUAUAAAAGCAGUACUCUAAAUAAUUUUUGUGUCUAAGAGAUUAAUACAACUCCCUAGAUUAUUAAUUAUACAGUUAUUAGAAACAACAAAUGGUUUUUAUAUGGUGAUCAAUUUCAAACUAUUUCCUCAAAUAACUCAAAAUAUAACAAUUACCAAAAAAAUACUUAAUAAAGAAUAAUAAAUGAGCAAUACAUAUAGUCAUACUUCCAGGGAUGUAUCAGAAGGGAAGGUAUAACAGAUAUGGAGUGUAUAAGAAAGUGGGAUAAAUGAGAAGUCAAUCCAAGUAUUUGAAUAGAAAAUCAAAUAUAAAGAUGCUGAUAAUUUUAUGAGAUUAAAUUCUAAACUGAAUAUAGAAUGUAUCAGAAUCCUAAAGAUAAUGUUAAAGCUGACUUGAAAGAAAUAGUAUUGAGUAAUAUAAAAUUCUUUAUAACAGCAGCAGCAACAAAACUAUAGCAAAAGAAAAGUGAAAAUAUAAAGAGAGUUUUCCAACAUCUAUAUGACAAAGGGCUGAUAUACAUGAUACAUAAAGAGUUCUUACAAAUCAAGAAGAAAUAAGCAACCACUCUACCAGAAGAACAUAAUUUCCAGCAUGUAGCAGGAAAUUCACAAAAGGAAGCUAACCUACUAAUAUUGAAAUAUCUUUUUAAUUUUUAUCAAAUACUAAAAGAAUCUUCAAAAAUUAUGGAAUUGUUGGCAAUUAUGUAGGGAAAUAGUUCUCUUGAUGAUUUACAGGUAAAACAAUUAAUUGGUAUUUCUUUUUAAAAACAUAUUUAAAAACUUAUCAAACAUUUCUAAAAGGUUCUUUUUGACCCAGGAAUUCAAAAUCUAGUAAUGUAUCCUAAGGGAAUGGUCAAAAAUAUGUAUACCAAUGAUUCAAAGUAUUUUAAAUAGCUGUAUCAAAACAAAUUAAUGAAAACAACUCAAUAUUCAACAAGAGGCAAUUUUUAGUGAACUAAAUUUAGUAGGACUUUAUUAGAACAUCCUAUUUGUUAUUAAAUAAUCUUUUUACUUAUUGAUAUAAAAGAAUAAAAUACAAUGCUAAAUGAAAAACAUGGAAUAUAAAAUGCUAACUACAGUAAGAGUUAAGUAAAAAAUACUUGAAAAUCCAUCCAAAUGUUUACUAGUUGUUAUCUCUGAGUGGCAGAACCAUG
Molecule: long non-coding RNA, 1243 nt
Filed under: Marmota monax (woodchuck)
Lineage: Eukaryota; Metazoa; Chordata; Mammalia; Rodentia; Sciuridae
Source: RNAcentral